Molecule: long non-coding RNA, 1928 nt
Organism: Ictalurus punctatus (channel catfish)
Lineage: Eukaryota; Metazoa; Chordata; Actinopteri; Siluriformes; Ictaluridae
Source: Ensembl
UGUAAAUGUAAAUUUUCUUUUAAAAAAAGGAUGCAAUAUGUCUCACUAGAGCAACUUGAUUACCAUUAACAUCCACAAAAAUGUAUUAUUCAAAGUAAUGUGUCGUUUGUUUUUUUUAAAUUUCAUUUUGUUUAGCCUAUCACAUUUAAACUGAAUGAGAUGAGCUGUAAAGCCCUGUUAGCUCUACAAAGUAGUAACUGCAAUUUUUUUUUUUUUGAUACAGGUUGCAGUACAGAUCCAGUGACCUUACUGUUACCAAAAUGUGCUAUGUCUGAAAACUAAACACCUUUUAUAUGUGAUGUAACAAUUUCAAAAUUUCAAACAAAAAGUCUUUUUAACUAUGAUUUUCUUUACACGAUCACCUCCUGGAAAUUCAUCCACAUGUCCAAACACUGCCUUCCAAACUAUGAACUCAAAGCUUUAAGCAAUGGUCAAAAUUCUUAUAUUUAAUUAUUUUAUUUUUUUUGAGAAACUUUUUUUUUUUUGCGUUGUUUUUAUCCAUGGUAAUGCAAUCUGUAACAGUCUUAUGGUCUCCUUCAGUUUAAAAGAAAUUUCCAGCGCCAGAUGUCCUCCUAGGUAACUCUAUGAAGCGUUUUAAUUUCCUGACAAGAGAGAAUGUUGUUUAUUACCCUAAAUAAUCUAAAUCAGUAUAAGAAAGCUUUCUGAAGCACACACUGUUGCGCAACAUCGGAGCUGAUAAAACAUCGGAGCUGUUUUGGUGACACAGUGACAGCACUUCAACAAACUUAAAGCCCUUUUGUUAAGUGUUUGAAAAUGUGGUGUUUGUGGUGUUUGUUUUUUUUCAUGGCGUGGGUUAAAACAGAAUGGUCACAGGUUUAAUGAAGUCAUUAAUCUAUGGCUAAGAGGCCAAAAUAUAGAAAUGGCCAUUCUCAAUACUUUUUAGAACCAAAAAAAAUCUAAAUAAAAACCAGUUAAUGAUAUUUAAAACCCCUGGCAGAGGUCUAAGUAUGGAGUUUAAUUUGUAACCUUGGUCAGAUUAUCAGUCAGGUAAAACCAUCAUGGACUUAAACCUGACUAUCUAAACAGCUCUAAAAGGGUCUUGUAUUACUUCACUAAUGUAAAGGUAAAGGCGUACUAGCUACAGUAUAUCCUAUUCUCCGUGCAGACGGUGCUACAGACACACUCGAUCAGACACAAAUCUGUCAGAUCCAACCUGACAAAACGACAAUUCAUCACCACAGUAAUCCAUUAUGUAGCUGUGAUGCACUGUAGCCAUUUGUGCAGCCAUGUAUGACAUGAACUUUUUUCUACUUGCACAGCAACAAGAAACAAGUCAAAUGUAAACUAAAUAUUUUUCUAUAAUAUCUCAAGACCUAAGAAAGCAUCGGACCCUGACCCUGAUUUUUUGGUGUCUUUUUUUUUUGUGUGUGUGUCUAUUGCUGUAGGGUUUCUCAAUGGUGUAUCUUAUUAGUUGUUGUCAAAGCUAUUGUGUGCUGCAGUAUUUUCAAGUAUGUUUCUUUGUUAACGUCUUCUUUUGUUUAUUUAGCUUUCUUUAUUGGGGAUUUGAAGAAGUGUGAAGUCUCAUUAUUUCAAUCUGUUAACGUAGCGCUAUGUGUACCCUGUACCUUAGACUAAUAUUAUUAAGUAUGUUAUGAGAAUGGAUAUUUUACUGGCUUUAUAGAAUGUUAAAAAUGAAUAUAAUAAUGAUAAGAAGAAGAACGAUUUAACUCCAAAAAGUCGAGUACUUGCUAACUAAGCGCUUGUGUUACCAUUAAAGAUGUUGUGUGCUUCUCUUAAUUUUCGUUGUAGAAAAAUUGAGCGAGUUUUUAUUAGGCUUCGACAACUAACGAUAGCAGUGUAAAUUUAUGGAGGAUUUUAACAAACAUCUGGGUUAUAGAAGAAUAUAGUUAUUUUAAUUGUUCUAUUUACUAACUGUAGGGUGAGAAGGGGCUCGCAUUGUGGUGAAC